Long non-coding RNA from Columba livia (rock pigeon), 1040 nucleotides. RefSeq lists it as uncharacterized. The transcript is spliced from 3 exons. The record is from RefSeq and is a predicted model, not a curated record. Lineage: Eukaryota; Metazoa; Chordata; Aves; Columbiformes; Columbidae.
GGGGUCCUGGUGGACUCCCAUUUGAGCAGGAGGCAGCAAGGUGCCCCAAGGCGGCCGUGAGUGGUGCCCUGGGCUGCAUGGGGCAAAGCGUUGGCAGCAGCUGGAGGGAGGUGACCCUUCCCCCUGCUCAGCGCUGCUGAGGCCAGGCCUGCAGUGCUGUGCCCAGCUCUGGGCUCCCCAGGACGAGAGAGACGUGGGCAAAGUGGGGAGAGCCCCCAGUGCCCCUCCCCCACCAGGGCGGUUAGAAUGCGACGCUGUGUUGACCCGGCGCUGGCCCGGCAACGGUUCUGUGCCAACACGGAGCGGCAGGGGCGAGAGCGCAGCUCUCGUCCAGCAGCACUACUGGCACUGGGACGCGCUCUGGGAGCUUGUCUCCAGCCUCCUGGGAGGUGUCUUGAGCCCCACCAGUGUGUCCCACGGACAUUUUCUACUGUUCUCGUCGGGAUGGGCCAGGUGAACUGCUGCCGUGGCUCCAGGUAGGUUCCCCCCAGAGCUCGCGGGUACCCUGGCACAACCAGACCCUGCAGCAGCCGCUUUUCUCACGCCCGACACCGUUUGCUCUGCAGGGUCGAACCUGAGCCCGUGCAGCAGUGCGUGCCCGUCCCGGCGUCUUGCGAGCCACUGCUCCGGCAGCGCGUGCGGGUGACCCAGGGCCGUGUGACGAGGAAGAGGGACCUCCUCCUCUUCAGCGACACCUUGGUCAUCGCCAAACCCCAACGUGGCAGCGCCCCGCGCCCGCAGCUCUGCCUGUCCCUGGGCCAGCUGAGGGUGCUCAGCAGUGGGACGGGGGCAGCCGGCGAUGGCACAGAGGAGGAGGACGGCAAGCACACCACCUCGCUUGUCCUCGUCUGGCCCUGCGGCUCCUGUGUCAUCACUUUCCGCUGCCGGGCAGUGAAGGAGCUGUGGGUCAGCGCGCUCCUUGGGUAAGCCCAGCUGUGCCCAGCCAGCACCUGCCCAGCCCCGUCUUCAGCACCACCGCUGCUCUCCGCUCCACUGCCGGGUGGUACCCGGCUGCUCUGGGGCAGCGUGGAAGUGCUCCA